This 681-nucleotide ribosomal RNA is filed under the name Salinispora pacifica. RNAcentral describes it as "bacterial SSU rRNA". It matches the Rfam family "Bacterial small subunit ribosomal RNA", at positions 104 to 799 of the family's 1533-position model. The record is from RNAcentral. Lineage: Bacteria; Bacillati; Actinomycetota; Actinomycetes; Micromonosporales; Micromonosporaceae.
GGGUGAGUAACACGUGAGUAACCUGCCCCAGGCUUUGGGAUAACCCCGGGAAACCGGGGCUAAUACCGGAUAUGACUGGCUGCCGCAUGGUGGUUGGUGGAAAGAUUUUUCGGCUUGGGAUGGACUCGCGGCCUAUCAGCUUGUUGGUGGGGUAAUGGCCUACCAAGGCGGCGACGGGUAGCCGGCCUGAGAGGGCGACCGGCCACACUGGGACUGAGACACGGCCCAGACUCCUACGGGAGGCAGCAGUGGGGAAUCUUGCACAAUGGGCGGAAGCCUGAUGCAGCGACGCCGCGUGAGGGAUGACGGCCUUCGGGUUGUAAACCUCUUUCAGCAGGGACGAAGCGUUUGUGACGGUACCUGCAGAAGAAGCGCCGGCCAACUACGUGCCAGCAGCCGCGGUAAGACGUAGGGCGCGAGCGUUGUCCGGAUUUAUUGGGCGUAAAGAGCUCGUAGGCGGCUUGUCGCGUCGACUGUGAAAACCCGUGGCUCAACUGCGGGCUUGCAGUCGAUACGGGCAGGCUAGAGUUCGGUAGGGGAGACUGGAAUUCCUGGUGUAGCGGUGAAAUGCGCAGAUAUCAGGAGGAACACCGGUGGCGAAGGCGGGUCUCUGGGCCGAUACUGACGCUGAGGAGCGAAAGCGUGGGGAGCGAACAGGAUUAGAUACCCUGGUAGUCCACG